RNAcentral lists this long non-coding RNA (492 nucleotides) under Vulpes vulpes (red fox). RNAcentral describes it as "lncRNA (ENSVVUG00000005533.1)". Lineage: Eukaryota; Metazoa; Chordata; Mammalia; Carnivora; Canidae. The record is from RNAcentral.
UAAGUGAUUCUCCCAAUCCCUGAAAUAAACUCCUUUACCUCUUAUCUCUUCUUUUUCUGUUAUACCUGAUCCACCUAGGGAAGCACAAUUCCGCUGCUGGCCCUCCUGGGAAGCAUGUCCUGAGGCCCACCUUACAAGUGAUGCCCCUGCCUCUGCCCUGGCCACCCCAUCAUGGCUCCAUUGAUAUCUGUGCUCCCUCAGUCCAGAACUUUCACUCAAACUCAUAAGAGAAGUGAAUAGAUGGCUGGUUGAAGCACAUGGAAGUCCAUAUACAUCCAAGAAGAGGCUUCUACAAAUUUCACAUGGAUUCUCAGAACCAAAACUACAUUGCCAGAAAAGAUCCACCUUCAUUCUGUCAUGCACAACAGUGUUUACUUGUUCCUUACAAGAAAACAAGAGAUCCACAAACUGCUGUGCUGAGCUAUGAAAUUGGUGCCCACAUACUAUGAUUGUGAAAUUACAAAUGGGUUCAGCAAUUUGUCAAGAUCUGAG